This 938-nucleotide ribosomal RNA is filed under the name uncultured organism. RNAcentral describes it as "bacterial SSU rRNA". It matches the Rfam family "Bacterial small subunit ribosomal RNA", at positions 562 to 1507 of the family's 1533-position model. The record is from RNAcentral.
AAAGGGUGCUUAGACGGAAUAAUAAGUCAGUGGUGAAAUCUUGCGGCUCAACCGUAAAAUUGCCAUUGAUACGGUUAUUCUUGAGUAUGNUUGAGGUAGGCGGAAUGAGUAAUGUACCGGUGAAAUGCUUAGAUAUUACUCAGAACACCCGAUUGCGUAGGCAGCUUACCAAGCCAUCACUGACGCUGAGGCACGAAAGCGUGGGUAGCANACAGGAUUAGAUACCCUGGUAGUCCACGCCGUAAACGUUGAUUACUCGUUGUUGGCAAUACACCGUCAGCGACUGAGCAAAAGCAUUAAGUAAUCCACCUGGGGAGUACGUCAGCAAUGAUGAAACUCAAAGGAAUUGACGGGGGCCCGCACAAGCGGAGGAACAUGUGGUUUAAUUCGAUGAUACGCGAGGAACCUUACCUGGGCUUAAAUGUUUAGUGAUCGACCGGGAGACCGGUUUUUCCUUCGGGACACUUUACAAGGUGCUGCAUGGUUGUCGUCAGCUCGUGCCGUGAGGUGUCGGGUUAAGUCCCAUAACGAGCGCAACCCCUAUCGCCAGUUGCCAGCACAUAAUGGUGGGAACUCUGGUGAAACUGCCGGUGCAAACCGUGAGGAAGGUGGGGAUGACGUCGAAUCAGCACGGCCCUUAUGUCCAGGGCUACACACGUGUUAUAAUGGUCGGUACAACAGGAUGCCAAUCCGCAAGGAUGAGCUAAUCCCAAAAGCCGAUCUUAGUUCGGAUCGGAGUCUGCAAUUCGACUCCGUGAAGUUGGAUUCGCUAGUAAUCGCAGAUCAGCCAUGCUGCGGUGAUACGUUCCCGGGCAUUGUACACACCGCCCGUCAAGCCAUGGAAGCCGGGGGUGCCUGAAGUCCGUAACCGUAAGGAGCGGCCCUAGGGUAAAACCUGGUAACNUGGGGCUAACGUCGUCANCAAGGUAACNCAAGGG